Molecule: long non-coding RNA, 650 nt
Filed under: Trifolium pratense (red clover)
Lineage: Eukaryota; Viridiplantae; Streptophyta; Magnoliopsida; Fabales; Fabaceae
Description: long non-coding RNA (TPRA_LNC009878)
Source: RNAcentral
GUAGUAUUACUAUUAGGAUUUGUGUUUGGUGUAAUUUUUACAUUCACAUCCAAUAGAAAAUUUACCAUUUUGCUAUAUGAUCCAUUUCCUUACAAUAUAUACUCAUUGAAUCACUACUAGUUCGUGGCUGUGAAGUGAAGACUGCUACAUAACACAUCAAGUAGCCACUCAUCCAAAUUAGCUUAACUCAGUCAACUAUCUCUAUGCUCAAAUUAAAUGAUGGUAAUGAUACUCUUUGUUUUGUACGCUUCUUUGGAAAUUCUGGACUGCUAGAAACAAUGCUGUGGAAAGGUCUAAACUCUUUCUCUAUUUUUUCUGACGCAGCAAAUGUGGUGGACUGCAUCUAUAACAAGGUGAAAAUUGCAGCCAUUGAAAUGGUGGUCCAAGACUGUAGGGAGGUGUUGUAUGGUAUGUCAAAUGUUAGUGUCUUGUUUGUUGGUAGAAGUCUUAAUGUUGAUGAUCAUAACAUGGCCUCUUUGGUAGAAAUCUUAAUGUUAAGUAUUGACUUUUAAUGUGUUGAAUGUAACUUUGUUAGCUUGUUAAUUAGUAUUUUAUGACUUGUGACUUGUGGAAUUGACAAUGACUUGUGAUGGAAUUGGUAUUUUAUGAAGGAUUGGUAUUUUAGAAUUGGUAUUUUAGGAAUUGGUAUU